Molecule: long non-coding RNA, 2896 nt
Filed under: Homo sapiens (human)
Lineage: Eukaryota; Metazoa; Chordata; Mammalia; Primates; Hominidae
Description: non-protein coding LINC01205:4
Source: RNAcentral
AGUAGAGGGCGCACUCUUGUGAGCGGCUUUUGUACCCAGUUGCUUCCUGGCUGCUUUACGGUCGAUUUGCAGGCAGUCCGCUUUGUACAAGCCAUGGUAUAGAGGCUUCCUUAUUUACCUCCCUUAUCCUUCAGCUGGAGCUCUGCGAGCCAGAGGCAGCGCUGGCGUUGGAGAGUGAUGGCGGCAUGGCGGUGCGGCGGCGGCUGCGAACACCUUGAGGACGGGUCGCAUUAUGUUGCCCAGGCUGGACUUGAACUUCUGGGCUCGAGCAAUUCUCCCACCUCAGCCUACCAAGCAGCUGGGACUACAGGUCUGCACCACUGCACCCCACCCAUUCAAGUCCACAUCCCCAGAAACGAGGAUAAUGCUUGGCACAAGGUAGGCAUUUAAUACAUAUAUGUUGAAUGUAUGAAUAAAUAUACUGGCUCUUUCUCAAGGCCAGAGAAGCCUCUCUUCAUCUUCCCAGGACUUCCAUUACCUACUUUUUUUCUGGAGGGCGGGGGGGAAUAAUUUCAACCUACAGAAAAGAUGCAGAUGCAAGAAUAAUGAAAGGAACUCUUAGAUACCCUUUAACCAAAUUCACCAAUAAUGUUUUAGUUUGUAAAAUCUAAUUUGAAAUAAUUUUUUUAAAAAUUUAUUUUCUCCUCAAAUUUCUUUUUCUUUUUCUUUGGCUUAAGAAUCUUCAUGUUUUUAUUUAUUUAUUUAUUUAUUUUUUGUUUUUGUUUUUUUGAGACAGAGUCUCACUCUGUUGCCCAGCCUGGAGUGCAGUGGCAUUAUCUAGACUCACUGCAACCUCCACCUCCUGUGUUCAAGUGAUUCUUGUGCCUCAGCCUCCUGAGUAGCUGGGAUUACCAGUGCACGCCACCACGCCAGGCUACUUUUUGUAUUUUUAGUAGAGACAGGGUUUCGCCAUGUUGGCCAGCCUGGUCUCGAACUCCUGACCUCAGGUGAUCUGCCUGCCAUGGCCUCCCAAAGUGCUGGGAUUACAGGCUCAUGCCUGUAAUCACUGCACCCAGCCUCAAAUUCCUUUUUUACCAUGAAAUAAUUUCAAAUUUAUAGAUUUGCAAGAAAAACACAAAUAAUACAAAGAACUACCUUAUACCCUUCACCCAGAUUUCCUGAUUAUUAAUCAUUUACAUUUGUCUGUUUUUCUUUCAUGUACCAUUAUUUUAUUCCUGAUACAUUUGAGAUUAAGUUGCAGACAUGUUGACAAAUUACCCCUAAAUACUUCAGUGUGUAUUUCCAAAAACAAGGAUACUUUUCCAUAGAACCUCAAUACUCUCAUCAAAAUCAGGGUAUUAACAUUGCUACAAUACUUUAAUCCACAAAUUCCACUUAAAUUUCAACAAUUGCAGGGAUAGCAUUAGGAGAAAUACCUAAUGUAGAUGACAGGUUGAUGGGUGCAGCAAACCACCAUGGCAUGUCUAUACCUAUGUAACAAACCUGCACGUUCUGCACGUGUAUCCCAGAACUUAAAGUAUAAUAAAAAAAUUUUCAACAAUUGUUCAAUAAUGUCACUUAUUGAAAGGAAGAGCAACAGCAUCAUCAACAAAACUUUUCCGCCUUUCCUUUCUGUUUCAAGAUUCAAUUCAGGAUCAUGCAUUGUAUUUAGUUGUCAUGUCUCUCUCUCUCUCUUUUUUUUUUUUUUGAGACAGGGUCUUGCUCUGUUGCCCUGGCUGGAGUGCGGUGGCAUGAUCUUGGCUUACUGCAACCUUCGCCUCCUGGGUUCAAGUGAUUCUCCUGCCUCAGCCUCCCGAGUAGCUGGGAUUACAGGCAUGUGCCAUCAUGCCAUCACCCCUGGCUAAUUUUUGUAUUUUUAGUAGAGAUAGGGUCUCACCAUGUUGGCCAGGCUGGUGUCAUGUCUCUUUAGUUUCCUUCAAUGCUUAGUUUUUUCCUCAUUUUUCAUGAUCUUGCCAUUUUUGAAAAGGAUAGGUCAGUUAUUUUAUAGUAUUUCCCUCAAUUUGGGUUUGUCUGAUGUUUCUUCAUGUCUAGAUUCAGAGUAUGGAUUUUUGGUAAGAAUGCUAUAGAAGCAAUACGAUUUUCCUCUCAAUGCCUCACAUUAGGAAGCACAAAAUACCAAUUUUCCUCAUUAAUAAUGAUAGUAACUUUUUUCACACUGUUAAGAUGAUGUUUAUAUUUCUCCACUGUAGAGUUCAUUAAUAACAGAUAUUUUAUUGAGCUUUACUUUUAAAUUUUAUACAUAUGUAUCUUUUUUUCAUCAAAAUUUUAAUGAGCUUAACAUCUAUGGAUAAUUCUUGUCUGAAUAAUUUAUUACAGCAGUGGUUGCUGAGUGUUAUUUUCUAAUUCUUUUUUUUCCUUUUUUGAGAUGGAGUCUCACUGUGAUGCCGAGGGUGGAGUGCAGUGGCACAAUCUCAGCUCACUGCAACCUCCGUUUCCUGGGUUCGAGUGAUUCUCCUGCCUCAGCCUCCUGAAUAGCUGGGAUUACAGGCACCUGUCACCAUGCCUGGCUAAUUUUUGUAUUUUUAGUAGAGAUGGAGUUUUACUAUGUUGGCCAGGCUUGUCUCAAACUCCUGGCCUUAAGUGAUCUGCCCAUCUCAGCGACCCAAAGUGCUGGGAUUACAGGUGUGAGCCACCAUGCCCGGCCUUGUUAUUUUCUAAUUUGAUCAUUUCUUGUACAUUUAUUAGUUGGCAUUGUACUAUAAGAUAGAUCUUUUCUUUGAAUAUCAGUAUGGGCUUAUGGAUUCUUAUUUUAUUGAAUCAGUUAUGCUCUAUUAUUAUCCUUAACUAUUACUUAUUACAGCUUUAUUGAUGUAUAUUUGACAUACAAGAAAUUGCAUAUACAUAAAGUGAAAAGUUUGAAGAAUUUUGUGUACCUAUAAAGUGAAUAAACUGUUACACUAAUCAGUGAAAUAAAUAUUUUCAUUAAUCCCUAAAA